AUGGGCUAACGGGAAACAGGAUCCGUAGAUUGACGCCCCCUACUGUGAAGCAACUGCAUCAGACCUGAUGCUGCCUUCAUGUGCUCCUGGUGCACUCUCGUCCGCUCGAAAUCCUUCUUGGCACCCAUUCAAGGUGGCGGGAGAUUCAAGGGCCAAGCAAAAGAUUUCAGGCAGAUGGCCCAGGGCAGGACAGGAGAGCAGAGCAGGUCCGGGUUACGACCAGACGUACAGAGCAACACAGGUGGGCGAGGAAGGCGAAACCCCUCCAGAGGCCAGACAACCAAAGCUAUCUGGAGUCUGGCGACAGGGCAGCAGAGGCAGGACGCGGCUGCAGCAGCACAGAAAGUUCAGGGGGCUGUUGUGGCACAAUAGGAACUGGUGUCAGCCAGGCUGCCGGCUGAGGACCAGGCAGGACUGAUGAUGGCUCUGAGGCGCUGGGCAGUGGAGAGGACGAGCAGCAGAGAGACACUGUCGACGGAAGACAUGCUUCCUCCUGGAAAGCUUCCUAAAAAAGGUGACUCCCAUAAUAGGCAGAAAAUUAGCAGGCUGGUGGCUAGCAGGCAGGGGUGCAGGCUUGAGACUUAGAGGCUGACAGACUGAGGUGUAGACUGGAGGUAAGGCUGGAGGCCGGAAGGCGGGUUGGGGUUGACAGCUAGAACCCAGGGGCUGAGGAAGUCCAUGGCCCACUCAGGUAAGGAGUUCCUCAGCAAAGGUUUUGAGGAGACUUCUGUGCCAGCAAAAAUCACAACUGUCUCUUCCUAAUUAUCACUGGUAGCCUUCCUCCAAAAAACCUUUUUUAAAAAAAAAAAAAAAAAAAAAAAAAAAAAAAAGCACAACAGGUCCGAAUUCAAAUUAACCAGUUGAUCAGUAUGUAAGUCUGCUGGGUCCAUUGUUGGUCAUUCUGUUGCGAACAUGUCAAGCAGGGUAGCAGGCGAAACUAGGGAUUGGUCCCAAACGCAGACACUGAGGCUGAGCAGGUGCAGUUCAAUACAUUUUAUUGGUAAGGAAAAGCUUACACAGGUUACAGGCCGGCAGUGGUCGAAAACAGGGAAUAAGUCCAACAAGGUUAAACAAAUCCGACAUGGAGCAGGCAAAGUUCAAAAUCCAGAAUCCAGACACGUCCAAGAGAGACAAAGAAUAAUUCCAUCAGAACUCACAGGAAACAAAUGCCAGGACGCUUGACAAUGGUACAAUGAUGAUCCAACACAGAACAAAGGAAGAACACAGACUAAAUACACUCAGGUAAGGACGACAACGAGACACAGGUGCUACUAAUUAGGGCGGGGAAAACAAUCAAAACUGGAGGGAAAAGCAAACAAAGACAGGAAGUAAAACAACAAGACACAGAGGCGAAGAGAACACUUCAAAAUGAAACAGGAAAUAACAGGACAAAACCCCAAAACCAUGACAGGGGUGCUUUAUUUAUUUAGUUUUGCAUUUGCAAAAAGUUGGGGGACUUGCAAGAGACAGAUUUUAAAAUGAAUCGUCUAAAUCGAAGCAGCAGAGGCCAAGAUAUCCUGAAUUCUAGUCCCUAGUAUGGGUCAAACUCCAAAAAUGCUGAAUUCAUGACUCUAUCUGCCUGCUAAAUGAUCAUUUCAAAGCUCCUGCAGAGCCACAAAGACAUUAUACAACUGUUUUCACUGGCUGAGUAGUACUCCUCAUGACUGGUAAACUGAAACUGACAUGUAAAAUCAGUGGAGCUCCUCUUUAAAAAAAAAAAAAGCUAUUCUUCAGAAGUCCAUGAUGCUAGAUUGUACAAUAAUAAAAAAAACUAUAAUUAGUAUAAACAAAAUUAUAUAGGACUUUAUUGCAAGCUCAUGUUACAUUUCAAUAGUGAUCAACAAAUAUAACAAUACAUUUUCUCUGGGAGAAUAACAGUAAAAGAUCAGCUGUAAGUCUGUAAGGAUCCUUUCAGUAGGGGCCAGCAAAGGCUGGCUUAAAAAAGUUAGUCUUAAAAUAUAAACAGCAUGUUUGUAAAUACUGGACGCUAUUAAUUCUCACACUUGCAUGAUUCUAUUCUUAUUUUAAUAAAUAUGAAUGAUGGAUCUAUGUCCAGAGACCAAUACAAGACUACUCUCAGUUAUACACAUUUGUAUCUUAUGCAGCAUCUCUGUAGUUUCAGGGCAUAUGGCUGGUCUGUUUGUAAUUUCUGGAAAGUUCAAAGCAAUCUUGAAGAUCCUGUUAUUAGAGACCGCAUGUUAACGUUCCCUUGUUGCAGUCCAGUGUGCACACACGCGUAUCAAGCAUGUGCUGAAAGAGAAGUAAUUUAAGUACAAGCCAUAAGUAUUCCUUAAAAUGUAAAUCAGAUGUUCUCUGUGUGUUAGCAGGAUUUGAAAAAAAAUACUGAUUUGGGCAUGAGG
This is a long non-coding RNA of Siniperca chuatsi (mandarin fish), 2360 nucleotides long. RefSeq lists it as uncharacterized. The record is from RefSeq and is a predicted model, not a curated record. Lineage: Eukaryota; Metazoa; Chordata; Actinopteri; Centrarchiformes; Sinipercidae. The transcript has 2 exons.